UCCCCGGCCGCUCCCGCUUAAUCUCCCUCCACCCACCGGUUGCCCGGCCAACAAGCCAGACAAGCAGGUGAUCCAUUGACAGGGAGCAGAUGGUCUCCCGCCGAGUUACAUCUUCAGCUGCUCAGGUUCCAAUCUGAGCCUUGAAAAGCACAUGGAAUUUAGGAAGAAUUGUGAAAGUGUGUCGCUCUUCCAACUUCCUCUUUCAGCUCUAUAUACAUUUAAAGAUGUGUGGAAAGGUAACCAUCUUCAUCACCAUGGCAUGAUGAAGAGACCAGUAGCCUUCCAGAGAUGCUUGCUGGGUGCCUGCACUAUGGUCUUUUAGAUCCCAGCCAAUUUUAGAAGAGGACAGGUGCAGCCAGUGAGAACCAAUCUACUUGCGCAUAUGAUGUUCCAAAAAUGCCACCACCAAGUUCUGUCUCCAGUGGGGAAGAGAUGGUUGGAAUGGGAGCACUGGCAUAUCCUCACCUACCUAUCAACCUGGAGACCACCUGUGUACACAUUAAGGAGAAAGCAGGAGACACUGAAACUGCUAUAGACUAAACACAGACAGAAAUGUAGAAUGUCUCGAUUCAGCCAGGAUACAAAGCAGUACAACUUCAUUAUUUUUAGAGGCUGAAGCCAUUCAAAAAAUUUCUGUAGGCCAUCCUCAACUGUAAGUAGCCAAUCACCUUUGAGAGGUAAACAGAUUGUUGUAAGAAUAUUAAACGACUAAACAACAACAACUACAAGCCUUUUCCCCAGAUUGGGGUGCAAGGCAGCUUGCAGAUAGAAUGGAAACAGCUAAAAUACAAAACCAUUGAUUGAUCAGGUAUUUAACUAAUAUUGAUGUAUUGUGUUCUUAUGCCUCAUUCACAAGUCCAGUCACAUAGAAGGAAGCCCCAUGAACUUUGGUACAACAUAGACACACAACUUACUGUCCAUCCUACAGGUACACAUAUUGGCACACAAAUCAGCACCUGCUGGUGGGGUGGCGUGGCAUUACUUUCCCAGUUUCCCAAUGUGGAAGUUGCUGCCAGUAACCGAGAUGGGGAGUCAAGGUGGCAAGGAGAUUGGCAUGGUGCUGGCAUAGUGGCAGAGUCAAGCUGACACUCCUAAUGCUGUGCUGAAACUGUACUGACCUCCCCACAGCCUUACCCCUCUCAGUUACUGGCAGUGACCUCUGUUUUGGUAUGCCAGGUAAACAGGCUCAUCCCACUGUGCUCCAUUGGUCACUAUCAAUGCAGAUAAAAGUGUGCUUCUGUGUUCAUCACUGACUAGGGGGCUAAUAUAUCCCCUUUUGGCAAGGGCCAGAGCGCAGAUAAUCACAAAAGGUUGUACUACCAAGCAUAAAGUGUGUAGGCUAAAAUACCAUAUAAGGUGAGCUGCUUUUAUAUGGGUUUUUAAUACAUACAAAACUAGAACACUAGAUAGCCAUUGCCAGUCAGUGUAGGCAGUAUUCAGCUAGAUGGACCAAUGAUCUGACUGCAUAUGGCAGCUUACUAUGUUCCUAAAUUCUAGUUCUGCUUCAGACUCAGAUCAGAAUUUUUGUCCAAGGAAUAUGAGCUCCCACUUUAAGGGGUUUUCUGUGAGCCAGAAGGAUGCAGCCUCUACCUAAACAUUUAAGGCUGAAGGUCCACUAACAAUUGCCAGCUGACGACCCCCUAACACUUUUCCCAAGCAUUUCUUAAUUUUGUCAUACACAACUCCCUAACCACAUCAUUUCCUUAACUGCAUUUUUAAACAGACUUAUGUGCGUAAAAAUCCCACAUGUUCCCUCGUUUUUAGUAUGUGUAUGUUCUUUCAGAUAUAGAAGUACAUGUGCAGAGUACAUUAUCUCUAGGUUUUUUUUUGAAGCUUCUCUAGUGCUUUCCUCAGUCACGAGCAGUGCUUUUUUUCUGGGGGUACGCAGGGGUACGCAUACCCCUAAACAUUUUGUGAAUCUAAGUUUGGCCUCAUUGAGGGGCAGUAUUUCAAUAUGAGUAGGAAAAUGAGAGUACCACUAAACAUUUUUUUAGAACAAAAGCACUGGUCACGAGGAAUGACUCUUUUUCUGCCUUGAGCUCGUCUCCCAUGCCUGCAAGAGUUUCUUCAAGAGCCAAGCCUGAAGCAAACUUCCUACCAACCCUUCUCUAAAGACUUUCUCUGGGAAGGAAGGUGCUUCUCCAGCGGUCUUCCAAACCACAAUCCGGAGAGCUUCAGUUACCAUGGCACUGCAAACAUUCUCCAUGCUCCACCAUAUUCUAUGAAAAAAUGCUCGGGGCAAACCCCUGUCUUUCGUGGAAAUUUGGCAUGACCGUCUCCUUCACUCCUGGCCUGUCCUUCCGCCGAUCUCGGCACAAAGAGGUUAAUAAAUGUUUACUUCGUCCCCCCUCCCCUUGCCCCCCCAUCCCCCCAAUGUUUCCAUAUGGCUUGUUCACAGGCUUGUGCUUGUUUGUGUCUGAAUGCCCACUUGCAUUGACUGGUGUGAGGGAAUUGUUCCACUCAUGCUGGCCAUCCUCAAAUCAAUGCCGGCCUCUAACAAGAGAAAGUGCCUCAGAUGUAGUGGUUUCCACAGGACCAUUGUUGGGCUUUUGUUAAGCAUUUUUGAACCUAAUAAAUAAUGUCAAAAGUUUCUUUCCUAGCCAAAAAUGUUCCUUUUGAAAACUCUUCUAGUAGUAUUUUUGUUCAGUGAUGGCUUCCAGUGUUGCAAAGAAUUUGCACUUUACAAUGGUAAUUUGAUGUAUCGCGUGCCAUGUUGCAAUAUGGAUUGUUUUUUAAAAAAAAUGCUGAAGUGUUGUCACUAGAUGGAAAUCCCUAUUUCUUUAACAUGUUCUCAAAUUGAGAGGUCCUUUCAGGCUAUAACGGUUUCAAAUGGGAUUAAAUAUCAUAAUCAAGAGCUGAAGUGAAGAAAUAAUUUUUUUUAA
This is a non-coding RNA of Zootoca vivipara (common lizard), 2882 nucleotides long. NCBI's taxonomy places the organism in Eukaryota, Metazoa, Chordata, Lepidosauria, Squamata, Lacertidae. The record is from RefSeq and is a predicted model, not a curated record.